UAUUGAGUAAGUCAUCCUCUGCACACACACUCUCAGGGAUAUGGUAACCAUUCUUUCCUUUGACCCUUCAGGCCUCACGUGUACCAGCUCUCUGCUUUCCUUUGCCUUGGGACGUUCCAUCCCUGGAAGUUUCCCUGCCCACAUCUUUGUAGAGAGUCCAUUCUCCAAGCUUCAGUGUGUCAUCUGUGAGGACUGUGACCAACCUGGUACAUCGCCUCAGGGCAUUCAUUUCAGGCUCCUUCUAAAUGGUCAAGUUUUCAAGAUUGUUUUGGCUCUAGCAAAACAAGUUGGAACAUUCACAUCAUCCAGUGUCGACCACAACAACAAAAGUUUCAGGACACUUACUAUGUGCUCAACAUUGUAUUAGGUAUUAUGGUUGACCCUAAAGAAGCAUCAGCUUGGCUUUGCACCAAAGAAGUUUUUAGUCAAGUUGGAGAGAGAUCACUACUCAAAGAACGCGAGAGACUAAUGGAAGACAAUAUAUUGGCAGCAGACUAAAAGGCAGAAUGGUCACACUUCAAAAUGUUUGGUACAAGCUAUGGUGAUGUUAUUGAUCUUCUGAUUUGAUGUUCCUGUGAAGGUUCUAUGACCUAUUUUGAUAUGUAGACAGUGGUAAAAUGCUCAAAGCUCUUUGCUACGAUAUGUAAUAACAAAGGGAACAGUAAAAAAUAUUCUGUUUAAAUAAGCCAGAUCACUUUUACAUGUGAUGGCCAAGCCAUGCAGGGGAGGAGGUGCUGAGCCUGGUUCUGUUAGUAACUGAGUGGUAACUGAAGAAGACAAAUCUAACCAGGCAUGGCAAGUCUGUGGAUGCCAUGAGAGCCUGUGCAUUUAGAACUAGGGCACACUAACAGAGAUCAAACUAAGUUUUUCCACUAACAUCAGACCUUUGCAAUUUAAUGAUUAUAAAACUUUCCUAACAUUUGCAAGUUUCUAAACAUUUAUUUUCUUUUAUUCUGUGCAAUUCCUAUUACCAUUGAAAUUAUUUAGGUCACAUAUUUUUGUGUUAUUUAAGUAACACUCAAAGACAAAACCAAGAAAUUCUUUUUCUACUUUUAACCAUCCUGAUUGGAUAGUUUAUAUUUAUAUCAAGUUCUAAUCUCCUAAAAUUUUUAGUGUGUUUAAUAAUGAAUCUUUGAAGAAUAUGAUACACUUGUAUAAUAGCUUUUUCAUAUAAUAAAAUUUUCCAAAGUAAAUAACCUGACAAAUUAAAAAAAACUCAUACAUUAAAUGUAAAGUACUAUUUUGUUAUAAUCAUAGAAUUUAAUAAAUUAAAAGGAUUUUAGAGAAUAUUAAGUUGAUGGAAGUUACUAUAACUCACAAAUAUUUUGGUACUCCCACCUUCUGGGCUUAUAGCAGAAUUGCACUUCUAUACUGACUUGAAGCCAGGUGUGGACAUAUGACAUGCUUUAGCCAAUUAAACUUGAUCAUGUGUUAUUACUGGGCAAAAGCUUUAAGAAGCAGUGGGUGGUUUUCCUGUGUCAUUGUGACCAGUGAUAUUCCAGGCAGUGGUAGCUCUGUUAUCUUGAAUCUUGGAGUGAGGAUGAUGACAAAGCAGGAACAUGAUCCCAGCUGACCUGCAUAGAACAUCUAGAGGGAAGGAGAAAUAAAAUUUUUGGUUUAAACUACAAAUACAGUCAGCAAACACAAAUACAGUCAGUAAGAUUUGGUGAUUGUAACCACAGCCUAACUUAGAUCACCCUGUUUGAUACAAAAUCCACAUUCCCCAUUGUCAAAGAGUUAUUUAAGGCACAGAGAAAUUGCAGCACUUGACUGUGGUUGCAAAUGAGGUUGACAAAAUCUUUUCCAGAAUCAAUAUCUGCUGCCUAGAGUAGUAUAUUUUUCCACUAUACCAAUGUUCUCCCAAAUUUUCCAUGUGUACCAACAUUGAAUAUGAGGUGAUUUUGUGAUAUAAAUAUUACUUUAAAUGAUAAUGUAUCACUUGGGCAGAAAGUUAAUGUCUUUUCAGUUGUCUUUCACUCUUUCCGAUUAAUGAAAGGAGGAAUUCUCUAUUUGGUGUUAGCAUGUCUAUAACUGUGGAUAUUUAGCUGCCUUCUAACCAUUCCUUUAAAAAAAAAAAAAAAAAAAGAAAUGAGAGAACAGGACUCAGGCUCUGAGCCUUCCUUAGGCACCAGACAGAAUUCAAUAAGUGUUUGAUUUUCACUGAGAUAAAUUUUACAGUUACUUUUUGUUGUUGUUGUUGUGGAGACAGAAUCUCUCUCUGUCGCCCAGGCUGGAGUGCAGUGGCGUGAUCUCGGCUCACUGCAAGCUUCAUCUCCCAGGAUCAAGUGAUUCUCCUGUCUCAGCCUCCUGAGUAGCUGGGACUACAGGCACAUGCCACCACAUCCAGCUAAUUUUUGUAUUUUUAGUAAAGACAGGUUUUCUCCAUGCUGGCCCGACUGGUCUCAAACUCCUGACCUCAGGUGAUCUGCCCACCUUGGCCUCCCAAAGUUCUGGGAUUAUAGGCAUGAGCCCCUGUUCCUGGCCACAGUCACUUCUUUUAUAAGGUUUUCCAUUUUCAUAGUGACAUAACAUUUACUUUAAAGAUAUAUUUGUUCAAGAACCAAAAGUUAAAGAAAAAUAUUAACUAAAUUACAAGGCAGGUGCUAUGCAGAUAUGGCAGAAAUUGCAAGAGUAAUUAAUACACAGUGGUGAGUGGUGAGGUGAAAAUAACUGGUGCUGGGUAAAGAAAUUCUACCAUGUCGAAGUACUGACAUCAGAUCCUCUCUUUUCAUAAAAAACAG
Pan paniscus (pygmy chimpanzee) is the source of this 2741-nucleotide long non-coding RNA. Lineage: Eukaryota; Metazoa; Chordata; Mammalia; Primates; Hominidae. The record is from Ensembl.